AGCGAACGCUGGCGGCAGGCCUAACACAUGCAAGUCGAACGCCCCUUCGGGGGAGUGGCGGACGGGUGAGUAACGCGUGGGAACGUGCCCUUUGGUACGGAACAACUGAGGGAAACUUCAGCUAAUACCGUAUGUGCCCCCAUUCUUAGCGGGAUGGGUGGGAAAGAUUUAUCGCCAUUGGAGCGGCCCGCGUUAGAUUAGCUAGUUGGUAGGGUAAUGGCCUAUCAAGGCGACGAUCUAUAGCUGGUCUGAGAGGAUGAUCAGCCACACUGGGACUGAGACACGGCCCAGACUCCUACGGGAGGCAGCAGUGGGGAAUCUUGCGCAAUGGGCGAAAGCCUGACGCAGCCAUGCCGCGUGAAUGAUGAAGGUCUUAGGAUUGUAAAAUUCUUUCACCGGGGACGAUAAUGACGGUACCCGGAGAAGAAGCCCCGGCUAACUUCGUGCCAGCAGCCGCGGU
RNAcentral lists this ribosomal RNA (460 nucleotides) under uncultured bacterium. RNAcentral describes it as "bacterial SSU rRNA". It matches the Rfam family "Bacterial small subunit ribosomal RNA", at positions 29 to 521 of the family's 1533-position model. The record is from RNAcentral.